GCUCACAGAGUGAAACCUUUCUUUUGAUUAGGCAGGUUGGAAACAUUAUUUUUGCAGAAUCUGCUAAAGAACUUUUCUCAGCCCACUGAGGCCUAGAGUAAAACACUGAAUAUCAAGCCAUAAAAACAGAAAGUAUGCUAUUCGUGAAUCUGCUUUUUGAGGUGUGAAUUCAGCUGAGAAAGUUAAACCUACCUUUGAUUCAGCAGGUUAGAAACAAUUUUUUGUGGAAUCAACCAAGGGACAUUUCAUACCUCACUGAGACCUAUAGUAAAAUAUCAAA
Molecule: long non-coding RNA, 280 nt
Filed under: Pan troglodytes (chimpanzee)
Lineage: Eukaryota; Metazoa; Chordata; Mammalia; Primates; Hominidae
Description: long non-coding RNA NONPTRT003514
Source: RNAcentral